Anolis carolinensis (green anole) is the source of this 468-nucleotide long non-coding RNA. RefSeq lists it as uncharacterized. The transcript is spliced from 2 exons. Lineage: Eukaryota; Metazoa; Chordata; Lepidosauria; Squamata; Anolidae. The record is from RefSeq and is a predicted model, not a curated record.
UAAUAAUAAUUUCCAUCCAACCAAAUACUGUAGGUAGGAUUUUCAGCAACUUUGUCACUUGCUAAAUCCAGGUUGAUGGUAGUCUACUAUAUCUACUAAGAACCAAAUAUUUCCUCUGCUCACAUCUCUAAAAAUAGUGCUGCCCAUGAACAACUACUGUUCUGUCUCUACAUACUGAUGUUGUUAUUUGUUACAGUGAGACCUGGAAUAUGUCCUCCUGCUAUCGAAAUAGGGUGUCUUGAACCUCAGAAAGAUACAUGCAAAAUGGAUGCAAACUGCCCAUGGCCAGAGAAAUGCUGUUAUCAACCCUGUUCUCUUCGUUGUGUGAAUCCUAUAAAAAGGAUAAACUAAUACCUUGGUGUGGACCUAUGGAAAUCAUGCCUUGAAAAACCAUCCAUUGCCUCCCUCUACUGGCUUAUAAAAAAGAUUGAAUGAUGGUUCUAAAUAUAUUGUGCCCAUGCAACAACA